Molecule: long non-coding RNA, 975 nt
Filed under: Citrus maxima (pomelo)
Lineage: Eukaryota; Viridiplantae; Streptophyta; Magnoliopsida; Sapindales; Rutaceae
Description: long non-coding RNA (CMAX_LNC003877)
Source: RNAcentral
AAUAACUUCUUUUACCCUUGAAAUAUUGAAAUCACUCUUUUCUCUUCUAUGAAAAAAAAAAUUCGUAAAUGGACACAAUCCUCAUAAACCCAAAAUUACUCUGGAUGCAUAACUACAAUUGAAAUUCCAUGACUAAAAAAAAUUAAUUAUUCAAUUUAUUCUCUUAAAUGCUCUAUUAAAGACAAAUAAUUUUCUCUUGCAAACAGUUAAAUUUCAAAAAUAAAAAAUACUCAUUGCAUCUUUCAAGCAGGACUAGGUCCAUAAAUAUUCUCUCUAGAUUUUCUCAGCAAACAAACAAAAAAAAGAAAUAAUACAGAACAAAAAUAAAAAGAAAUAAUAUAGAACAAAAAUGAAAAAAGAGAAAUGAACAUCAAUGGACGAAGAAUUAUCGAACUGAAUGUGAUCCCAAAGCUUCACAAAGAUCUCGUGAUUUCUAUACAGUGAACCGGGAAGGGGAGUAUGGCCCACAAAACCAGGAUUUGCAGGGUCGGCCCAGGGUUUCGGUGCGUUGAUUGAAGGUCGUGAGGGCUUAAAGUUUCCUUGUGCUGAGUGAGGUGAAAUGAAGAAAUAGAGAGACCUACGAGAAAGAAUUUCAAUUGAAAAUUUCUUUAUCUCCAAGCCGGGACGAGGGACAACACUGAAAAAAUCGAAAAUUAAAACUUUAUCUAGGACUAAAUAAUAAUGAAUUUAAAAAAAAAUUGAGACAAUUAUAUGAAGAGAGAGAGAGUCACCUCUAGCGAAAGAGCUUCGAGCUUAGAUAUUCUGUUUCUUAUCUUCAAUAUUGUUAGGGUUUAUCAGGGUUUCUUGUCUUCAAUCUUCCAUCUUUGUUAGGAUUUCUUCGAACUAUUCUUGUUUGGUUUAAAGUGUAUUUGUUUCGUCUACUUGGUUUGAUUUGGGAAGAUUUCCGAAUGAUUUAGGAAGAGAGGCAAUACGAAGAGAGAGAGAGAGGGAAGACGAAAAGAUUUCAAAAUUUUC